CCUACGGGAGGCAGCAGUGGGGAAUAUUGCACAAUGGGGGAAACCCUGAUGCAGCGACGCCGCGUGAGCGAUGAAGUAUUUCGGUAUGUAAAGCUCUAUCAGCAGGGAAGAAGAUGACGGUACCUGACUAAGAAGCCCCGGCCAACUACGUGCCAGCAGCCGCGGUAAUACGUCGGGGGCAAGCGUUAUCCGGAUUUACUGGGUGUAAAGGGAGCGUAGCCGGCGAUGCAAGCCAGAUGGGAAAGCCCGGGGCUCAACCCCGGGACUGCAUUUGGAACUGGGUGGCUGGAGUGUAGGAGAGGCAGGCGGAAUUCCUAGUGUAGCGGUGAAAUGCGUAGAUAUUAGGAGGAACACCAGUGGCGAAGGCGGCAUGCUGGACGAUGACUGACGUUGAGGCACGAAAGCGUGGGGAGCAAACAGGAUUAGAUACCCGGGUAGUC
This 440-nucleotide ribosomal RNA is filed under the name uncultured bacterium. RNAcentral describes it as "partial 16S ribosomal RNA". It matches the Rfam family "Bacterial small subunit ribosomal RNA", at positions 338 to 795 of the family's 1533-position model. The record is from RNAcentral.